This 961-nucleotide ribosomal RNA is filed under the name uncultured organism. RNAcentral's name for it is "bacterial SSU rRNA". It matches the Rfam family "Bacterial small subunit ribosomal RNA", at positions 20 to 1003 of the family's 1533-position model. The record is from RNAcentral.
UGGCUCAGGAUGAACGCUAGCGGCGCGCUUAAUGCAUGCAAGUCGAGCGAUGAGGCCCUCUUCGGAGGGUACAUCAGCGGCAGACGGGUGAGUAACACGUAGGUGACCUGCCCUAAAGCUGGGGAUAACGGAUGGAAACAUACGCUAAUACCCAAUAGACCUGUGAGGUCGCACUCAUAGGUAAAGCUCCGGCGCUUUAGGAGGGGCCUGCGGCCCAUCAGCUAGUUGGUAGGGUAACGGCCUACCAAGGCGAAGACGGGUAGGGGGUGUGAGAGCACGACCCCCCACAAUGGGACUGAGACACGGCCCAUACUUCUACGGGAGGCAGCAGCAGGGAAUAUUGCACAAUGGACGCAAGUCUGAUGCAGCGACGCCGCGUGGAUGAUGAAGGCCCUCGGGUCGUAAAAUCCUUUUCAGGGGGACGAGGAAGGACGGUACCCCUGGAAUAAGCGUCGGCUAACUACGUGCCAGCAGCCGCGGUAAGACGUAGGACGCAAGCGUUAUCCGGAUUUACUGGGCGUAAAGCGUCUGUAGGCGGUUCGAUAAGUUGGGCGUGAAAGCUCCGGGCUUAACCCGGAGAGGUCGUUCAAUACUGUCGAACUAGAGGGCAUCAGAGGAGCAUGGAAUUUCCGGUGUAGCGGUAAAAUGCGCAGAUAUCGGAAGGAACACCAGUGGCGAAGGCGGUGCUCUGGGGUGGGCCUGACGCUGAGAGACGAAAGCUAGGGGAGCGAACAGGAUUAGAGACCCUGGUAGUCCUAGCCCUAAACGAUGGAUGCUAGGUGUGGGGCCGAGAAGGCUCUGUGCCGCAGUUAACGCGCUAAGCAUCCCGCCUGGGGAUUACGGCCGCAAGGCUAAAACUCAAACGAAUUGACGGGGCCCCGCACAAGCAGCGGAGCGUGUGGUUUAAUUCGAUGCUACACGAAGAACCUUACCUGGGUUUGACCUGUACGUGGUAGAGAAG